CGUCAACAUUUUUUUCAGUACAUAUUUCCUAUGAGGAUAUUCACAUGAAAUUUUCACCAGACAUCAGUAUUAACUCAAAAAAUCCGGAAAUAUAAAGAAUUCACAACAUUAAAGCUCAUAAAUGAAGUUAUGUGUAAUAAAGUGGAAUGAUACAGGGGAAAAAAGUAUUGAACACGCUAACUGAAAUGUAUUUAAUACUUAGUGGAGAAGCUUUUGUUUGUAAUGACCGCUUCAAGGUGUUUCCUGUAUGAAGAAAUUAAUCAGCCAGAGUAUUCAGGUGUGAUUUUGGCCCAUUCUUCUAAACAUAUUGUCUUUAUAUCUUGUUCAAUUGGAUUCAAGUAAGUAGCCAAAAAGUUCAAUUUAGCUCUCGUCUGACCAGACUACACUCUCCCAGUAUUUCAUAGGCUUGUCCAAAUAAGUUGUAGCAAACUUUAAAUGAGCUUCGACAUGCCUUUUCUUUAGUAAUGGAGUCUUGCAGGGUGUUCGUAAACAGUGGAGUGCAUUGACUAUUGUUUUCUCUGUAAUUAUGGUACCAAUAAUUACCAAUUAUGUAAUUAUGCUGCCUCCAAGUGUUUCUGGAACUCUUUCUGAGUAGUCCUUGGCUCUUGGGCUACUCUUCUGACUAUUCUUCUGACUUCCUGGUCAGAAAUAUUGUGAGGAGCUCCGGUACAUGGCCGGUUGAUAACGGAGUAAUGUUGUUUCCACUUGAGGAUAAUGGCCCCAAUGGUGCUUACUGGAGGAUUCAGAAGUUUUGAAAUAGGUCUAUAUCUGAUUCCAUCAAUAUGUUUUGCAACAAUAAAGUUGCGAAGUUAAUGGGAGAGCUCUUUGCUUUUACCUAUCAGAGAUGUUUCCUGUGUGACACCCUAUCAGGGAUGUUUCCUGUGUGACACCCUGGUAACGAAAAGCCUUUUUAUAAACCAUCAAUUUACUAACCCAGCUGAUAUUAAUGUGCACAGAUAGCAAGUAUAAUUAAUUACGGAUUUCAGCUGGUUCCUUGCCUUACCUUGUCUUGGAGAACUGCUUUUUCUUAGUGUGUUCAUCACUUUUUUCGUUUCAUUCCAUUUUAUUACACAUAACUUUAUUUAUGGACUUUAAUGUUGUGAAUUUUUUAUAUUUCCAGAUAUCUUGAGUUAAUACCUAAAUACUCAUUUCCCAUUACACAUUUAUAUGCAAUAUAUAUUUGACAUUUAGCAGUAAUGUUUAGAUUAUGAAUGUGGAAGUAGGUAGGGCAUCUUUUGGGGGAUUUUAAAUUUAAUCUUUAAAUUAAAUUUUCUUCCAUUCUUCUUACUUUCUGAACUUUUCCUCAGAUACAGAUACAUGCACACAGAUGAACAUGAAUUAUAUAGUGUAUUCGAAAAGAUAUUUAUACAAAACAACUUGGCAAAUGGAGUUCAUGCCCAGUCCCUCUCUGUCUCUAUAUAUCCCUCUAUGUUUCUCUCUCUUUCUCUCUCACUCUCUCUGCCACAGUUUCUCACCAGUCUUACGAGUCACUGAUCUAGAUUUGUCACUACUCUCACUGUUCCCACUGAAAAGCUUCCAGCAGCACACAGCAUGUGCUCUGACUGGCAUAAGGUCGCCCUUGACCAAACACUAGCAGAGGAUAAAAUAUUAAUGUCUUAAUGAUGGAAAAUUCUUAAUCAAACUUUGACAACUGUGUGUUCACAGAAUGUAAACACUGUACCUCUGUCAGUCAGAGCAAUUGUGAGCUGAGAACUUGAAUAAUAGUGUUAAAUGGAGCUGUUAGCAUAAGGACAUGGGGCUUGUUCUGCCUUGCUGUGAUAAGACAACAAAGACACUGCCUCCUUGUGGACACACACAUUUCACGUCUUGGACACAAUCAUGCUCCCAUAGUAAACAGAACUAGUUUUAAAAACUGUUCUGGUCUUAUAUUGCUCUUAUUAUGUGUAUGAUGUGAAUAACACAGCAAGUGACAAUAAUAACCAAAUUAUUAUUAUAAUAAUUUAAAAACAAUGGCUAAAUAUGUUAUGUUAUAAAACUAGUUUAUAAGCAUUUAUAAUUUCUCCAGUUCUAAUGACAACAUGUCCAUUUUAUAGUUGGAUCGUCCAGAACAUCCCACAGAUGCUCGAUCAGAUUGAGAUCUGGGGAAUUUAAAGGCCAAGUCAACACCUUGAACUUUUUGUCAUGUUUCUCAAACCAUUCCUGAACCAUUUUUGCAGUGUGGCAGGGCACAUUAUCCUGCUGAAAGAGGACACUGCCAUUAGGGAAUACCGUUGCUAUGAAGAGGUGUACUUGGUCUGUAACAAUGUUUAGGUAGCUGAUGUGUGUCAAAGUAACAUCCACAUGAAUGCCAGGACUCAAGGUUUCCCAGCAGAACAUUGCCCAGAGCGUCACACUUCCGCUACCGGCUUGCUUUUUCUUCCCAUAGUGCAUCCUUGUGUCAUUUCUUCCCCAGGUAGAAACGCACAUGCAACCGGACGCCCCCAUGAUGUAAAAGAUUCAUCAGACCAGGCCACUUUCUUCCAUUGCUCCAUGCUCCAGUUCUGAUGCUCACAUGAUCAUUGUAGGCACUUUCGGUGGUGGACAGGGGUCAGCAUGGGUACUCUGACCAGUCUGCAGCUACACAGCCCCAUAUGCAGCAAGCUGUGAUGCACUGUGUGUUCUGAUACCAUUCUAUCUUAGCCAGCAUUAACAUUUUCAGAGAUGGGAGGCAUGCCAGGAAAAAGCCUUUGCUGUCUUAAAAAGAACAUUAGAGCAAGAAUACAAUUUGCCAAUGAGCAUACAGGCAAAGACCAGGACUUUUGGAAUAAUCAAACUAAUCAAAGAUAGAGUUGUUUGGCCACAGUAACAGCAGACAUGUUUGGUGCAGACCAAAAACAGCUUUUCAGGAGAAGCACCUCAUACCAACUGUGAAGCACGACAGUGGAAAUGUUAUAGUUGGGGUUGUUUCACUGCCUCAGGGACUGGACAGCUUGUAUUCAUUAUUUCAAAUGUGAAUUCUGCAUCAUAUCAAAGAAUGCUUGAACAUAAUAUGAGGCCAUCUGUCCACACGUAAAAGUUGAACCGAAAGUGAACCUUUCAACAGGAUAAUGAUCCUAAGCACACUAGCAAAUCCACCAAGGAAUGGCUCAAAAAGAAGAACUAGAUGGUUGUGGAAUGGCCUAGUCAAAGCCUGGAUUUAAAUGUUGUCGGGGGAUUUGAAACGGGUAGUACAUGCAAGAAAACCCUCAAUCAUGUUGUAACUGAAAGAAUACUGCAUGGAACAGUGGUCAAAAAUUCCAGCAAGCCGAUAUCAGAGACUGGUGGACAGUUAUGUAAAACACCUACAAGAAGUUCUUUCUGCUAAAGAGCACAAUAAGGAUGUACUUAAUUUUUCCACAGAAGAUGAUCACAUCUAUUGAUAUUUCUGUUGAAUAAAUGAUUUAAAAAGCUCAUUUUCCAUGUGGUUUUGUUCAAGUAUAUCAAUUUUAUUAAUAGUGUCACGUAUCAAGAAACUCCACUUCCCAUCAGCCACUGCACUGCUCUAGUUGUCACAUGUCCACCUGCACCUGAUUCAUGUUUUGGUUAAUGAGCACUCAUGGGUAUAAAUAGUCCUUGUCUGCACCAUUAGGUUGUCUUUUGUUGUCUUAGACUCCCGUUGUUCAUGUCUCAAUGUUUGUUUCUUGCCACAGUGUGUUUAGUCAAGUUUUCAUAGUGUGUUUGUUUCUUAGUACGUUUCUUUAAGUAAAUGUCAUUAUCUGCAUCUGCGUCUGCAUCUGCUUCUGGCUCAACCAUCCAAACCGUGACAAAUAGGCACUGUUUCAAAGAUGACCAAAUGUGUGCUUGUCUAAACAUGUCAAAAAAGUAAAAAAAAAUUCCAUGGGGUAUACUUAUUUUUUCAUAUGACUAGAUAGAUAGAUAGAUAGAUAGAUAGAUAGAAAAAUAGACAGUGAGAUAGAUAGGUGGGUGGGUGUGUGGAUGGAUGGAUGGAUAGAUAUCUAGCUAGAUAGAUAGAUAGAUAGAUAGGAUGUAUUCUUGCCCCAAGCCUAAUGUUCCACUGUGACCAAAACCAGGAUAAAGAGGAUACAGAAGUUGAAUGAAUGAAUGUUGCUCAUUCACAUAAAAUAACACAAACAGGCUACAGUUCUCAGAAAACCUGUAGAACUUUUGCGUUCAUGCAUUUUUGAUGGCUCUUGUAAUUAAGCACUACAAAAAAGGGAAUGUUUUUUUUAAAGGUCAUUUAAAAACAUGCUGCAUUUAUGUGCUCAUCUAAGAUAAAGGCGAUAUUGAAUGUUAUAGUGAAAAUAAGACUUGUCAAGACAAAAUUAAAGGAUGCUUAUUAAAAUGUUAAUUAUCGCUAUAUAAUUAUAGUGGCACUAUUGACACAUGCAUAAUCACCCUUUAUACAUUUUCACAUACAUACACUCAUACCUUUUAUCUUGAUGAUAUGGUCAAGAAUAUCCCUUCUAUUAACUAAUUCUAAUUCAAAAUUUUGAAACUAGGGAAUCACAAAGUAGUCUAGCUAAUUUAGAUUACAGAUAUGGCAAUGACUUCUUUAUAACUGACACAGUGCUCCUGCCAGGGGUAGAUGUGCAUUCACUAGCCCUUACUUUAUAUAACAGAAAUUGAUAUUUAAUGUUUCUAUAUGUAGGCCAUCCAAUACUAUUUGAGCUCAAGGGUUAAGGAAAAAUCAAUGCUAACAUGCAUCAUUUCACCAGCAGUGACAUACACUCCUGAUAUGUAUACAGUAUGUCUGUGACCAUGUUUUUUUGUUGUUGUUGUUGUUUUUUUUCAAUACACAGUCCAUGGAAUAUUUCACAUAUUUCACAUAUUUCCACAUACAGCAGGUAAGACUUAGACAUCACUUAAGUGUCUUUGUAAAAAUACAAUAAGAUGUAUGUACAGUAUGUAAUUCUGGCUUGUCAGAAAAAUUCUAGUUCAUUCAGAGGUGUGUGUGUGUGUGUGUGUGUGUCUGUGUGUGUUACAGACAUUGGACAGACAAAGUGUAGCUGUCGUCAAGGCAACAGGGCUCUCUCCUCUUGAAACCUCUUGACUGGCCUUUGCCGCCACACACACACACACACAUACAUACACGCACACUUGACUCACAGCCUUGUGCUAUGUGUGAAUCAAGGCCAUCUCAGACAACCAAGUAGUCCGAGGAGGAGGGUUUGCUCUAUACAGACACUAACACACAAAAUACAGACACAGUAGUGUUAUUUCUCCCUUAAUUAUUUAUUCCUGUAAACUCAGAAACAACUAAGAAUGGAAAGAAAGAUUUAUGCAUAUUAAUAAUUUUCUGUAAAAUAAAGAGUCUUUGUAUGUAGAAAAGACAUGUCUCAUCUUUGACUUCAAUCCAUGCUAUUAAAAUUACUUUAGAUCAUGAUUAUAUUAUUAUUUUGUAACAUCUUCCCUUUUACUCCCACAGUAUGAGGGUUCUUUAGAAGAUCGAACACCUUCAAAUAAAACUACAGUUUCAAAAGGAGUGCAAGAUCUCAGUUUAACAUUCACAAGACUAGGAAGAUUGUAAUAUUGCGGGGGAAAAACCCUCUUGCUAAUUGCCUGCCUAGCGUUUAAAGCUGUUAUGAAGGCAGCUGAAUGGAUUAGUCUUUUACUCAGCGGAAUUGAUAUAAAAAUGUAUAAAAAUGGCCCAAAAAAAGAAGUAAAAUAAAGAACCAGACAGAUGCAAAAAAAAACGCAAUCUAGUUAACAAUGUGUAAAAUGCUUAAAUUAGUUUCAUAAUUAAAUUGUAACUAGCCAGUGCCUCAGGAGGGGACGAACUCAGUUUGGACUAAUUAUGCCAGAGUGUGUUUGUAUGUUGUUUGAGCACAGUCAUCUCCUCCGAGUUUGACAGUAGAAGAUGCAUCAUGGCAUCAUGGAUCGUGUACACUUGUGCCUGUAAGGGGUCACUACACAUCUGGACUGAAGUCAGUGUACAGUACACAGUGAUAUCUACUCAAUAUAACUCUGCUAUACUACAGUAUACACACAUGUUCAGUCAAGAAUAUAGUCCUGCUUAAAAAGUGAUUUUGCACACACCUGCACCAACUGAC
Molecule: long non-coding RNA, 5990 nt
Organism: Ictalurus punctatus (channel catfish)
Lineage: Eukaryota; Metazoa; Chordata; Actinopteri; Siluriformes; Ictaluridae
Source: Ensembl